UACGUAGGCAGCGAGCGUUGUUCGGAAUUACUGGGCGUAAAGGGCGCGUAGGCGGUGUGUCAAGUCAGGCGUGAAAGCCCCGGGCUCAACCUGGGAACCGCGCUUGAGACUGGCACGCUCGAGUUCGGGAGAGGAUGGUGGAAUUCCCAGUGUAGAGGUGAAAUUCGUAGAUAUUGGGAAGAACACCGAUGGCGAAGGCAGCCAUCUGGACCGACACUGACGCUGAGGCGCGAAAGCGUGGGGGAGCAAACAGG
RNAcentral lists this ribosomal RNA (254 nucleotides) under uncultured bacterium. RNAcentral describes it as "partial 16S ribosomal RNA". It matches the Rfam family "Bacterial small subunit ribosomal RNA", at positions 524 to 776 of the family's 1533-position model. The record is from RNAcentral.